GGGUGCGAUCAUACCAGCACUAAUGCACCGGAUCCCAUCAGAACUCCGCAAUUAAGCGUGCUUGCGCGAGAGUAGUACUAGGAUGGGUGACCUCCUGGGAAGUCCUCGUGUUGCACCCC
This 119-nucleotide ribosomal RNA is filed under the name Gossypium arboreum. Lineage: Eukaryota; Viridiplantae; Streptophyta; Magnoliopsida; Malvales; Malvaceae. The record is from RNAcentral.